UUAUCCGACCCCUUGGGCCCGCGCGGCCGGGCCCUAGAGUUUGAUCUUGGUUCAGGACGAACGCUGGUGGCGUGCCUAAUACAUGCAAGUCGAGCGAACAGAUGAGAAGCUUGGUUGUCUGAUGUCAGCGGCGGACGGGUGAGUAACACGUGGGUAACCUACCUAUAAGACUGGGAUAACUCCGUGAAACCGGGGCUAAUACCGGAUAAUAUUUUGAACCGCAUGGUUCAAUAGUGAAAGACGGUUUCGGCUGUCACUUAUAGAUGGACCCGCGCCGUAUUAGCUAGUUGGUAAGGUAAUGGCUUACCAAGGCGACGAUACGUAGCCGACCUGAGAGGGUGAUCGGCCACACUGGAACUGAGACACGGUCCAGACUCCUACGGGAGGCAGCAGUAGGGAAUCUUCCGCAAUGGGCGAAAGCCUGACGGAGCAACGCCGCGUGAGUGAUGAAGGUCUUCGGAUCGUAAAACUCUGUUGUUAGGGAAGAACAAAUUUGUUAGUAACUGAACAAGUCUUGACGGUACCUAACCAGAAAGCCACGGCUAACUACGUGCCAGCAGCCGCGGUAAUACGUAGGUGGCAAGCGUUAUCCGGAAUUAUUGGGCGUAAAGCGCGCGUAGGCGGUUUCUUAAGUCUGAUGUGAAAGCCCACGGCUCAACCGUGGAGGGUCAUUGGAAACUGGGAAACUUGAGUGCAGAAGAGGAGAGUGGAAUUCCAUGUGUAGCGGUGAAAUGCGCAGAGAUAUGGAGGAACACCAGUGGCGAAGGCGGCUCUCUGGUCUGUAACUGACGCUGAUGUGCGAAAGCGUGGGGAUCAAACAGGAUUAGAUACCCUGGUAGUCCACGCCGUAAACGAUGAGUGCUAAGUGUUAGGGGGUUUCCGCCCCUUAGUGCUGCAGCUAACGCAUUAAGCAU
Molecule: ribosomal RNA, 914 nt
Filed under: Mammaliicoccus sciuri
Lineage: Bacteria; Bacillati; Bacillota; Bacilli; Caryophanales; Staphylococcaceae
Description: bacterial SSU rRNA
Rfam family: Bacterial small subunit ribosomal RNA
Source: RNAcentral